AUUGAACGCCGGCGGCAUGCCUUACACAUGCAAGUCGAACGGCAGCGGACCUUCGGGUGCCGGCGAGUGGCGAACGGGUGAGUAAUAUAUCGGAACGUACCUUUCAGUGGGGGAUAACGUAGCGAAAGUUACGCUAAUACCGCAUAUUCUGUGAGCAGGAAAGCAGGGGAUCGCAAGACCUUGCGCUGAUUGAGCGGCCGAUAUCAGAUUAGCUAGUUGGUGAGGUAAAGGCUCACCGAGGCGACGAUCUGUAGCGGGUCUGAGAGGAUGAUCCGCCACACUGGAACUGAGACACGGUCCAGACUCCUACGGGAGGCAGCAGUGGGGAAUUUUGGACAAUGGGCGCAAGCCUGAUCCAGCCAUGCCGCGUGAGUGAAGAAGGCCUCGGUUGUAAG
This 395-nucleotide ribosomal RNA is filed under the name uncultured bacterium. Its description in RNAcentral is "bacterial SSU rRNA". It matches the Rfam family "Bacterial small subunit ribosomal RNA", at positions 30 to 429 of the family's 1533-position model. The record is from RNAcentral.